Molecule: ribosomal RNA, 313 nt
Filed under: Cryptosporidium bovis
Lineage: Eukaryota; Apicomplexa; Conoidasida; Eucoccidiorida; Cryptosporidiidae
Description: SSU rRNA
Rfam family: Eukaryotic small subunit ribosomal RNA
Source: RNAcentral
CGGUAUUUAUAUAAUAUUAACAUAAUUCAUAUUACUUUUUAGUAUAUGAAACUUUACUUUGAGAAAAUUAGAGUGCUUAAAGCAGGCUAUUGCCUUGAAUACUCCAGCAUGGAAUAAUAUUAAGGAUUUUUAUUCUUCUUAUUGGUUCUAGAAUAAAAAUAAUGAUUAAUAGGGACAGUUGGGGGCAUUUGUAUUUAACAGUCAGAGGUGAAAUUCUUAGAUUUGUUAAAGACAAACUACUGCGAAAGCAUUUGCCAAGGAUGUUUUCAUUAAUCAAGAACGAAAGUUAGGGGAUCGAAGACGAUCAGAUACC